This 268-nucleotide ribosomal RNA is filed under the name uncultured Glomus. Its description in RNAcentral is "partial small subunit ribosomal RNA". It matches the Rfam family "Eukaryotic small subunit ribosomal RNA", at positions 605 to 877 of the family's 1831-position model. Lineage: Eukaryota; Fungi; Glomeromycota; Glomeromycetes; Glomerales; Glomeraceae. The record is from RNAcentral.
UACAGUUGUUGCAGUUAAAACGCUCGCAGUUGAAUUUCGGGGUUAGUAGGUUGGUCGUGCCACUGGUAUGUACUGGCUUUACUGAUUCCUCCUUCUUGAAGAACUGUAAUGUCAUUAAUUUGAUGUUGCAGGGAAACAGGACUGUUAUUUUGAAAAAAUUAGAGUGUUUAAAGCAGGCUAACGCUUGAAUACAUUAGCAUGGAAUAAUGAAAUAGGACGUUUGAUCCUAUUUUGUUGGUUUCUAGGAUUGACGUAAUGAUUAAUAGGG